GCUCUUUGAUGGCUGAGAACAGCCUUUAAUAUCCGAAUCUGUUGGAAGGAAGCAACAGUUAGGAAUACCUUCUUUGAUGCUGGACAUUGUGUGGAGAAAGUGAAAGAUUGGGAGAGGUUAGCGAAUGAAUAAUUUGCACUAGCCAGUAAUGUAUGACUGCACGUAGCUAGUCAGGCAAGCCACACUGGUUAGCUAUCUAUAAAUCGGAUGUUUGUGGGCAGAGUGUUAGAGAGAAGCUCGUGCACGGACCGAUGUCCACGGGGCUGUGCAAACCGAGGCUACCGGGGGGGGGUGUCACUUCGCCACUUCUUGAGGGAAGUGGCAGAUUGAGGUGCUUGCUUGUUCCGACCAGAUUCUAAAUACCUAAGUGAAAUUUGCUAAUGUGUGUAUUGACCCUUGCAAAUUACAGCAGUGAUGCUGAAAACUACAGAUUCUCUCUAAAUCCACCAAUUUACUUCUGUGACAAAAUGUCAUACCAAAGGAUACGGCUGAAAGAGCUAUCAUCACUCUUGGAAUCCAUGCUUCAAUCAUAGCUGCUCAAAACAACCCACAUACAUUUUAAAAGUUCAAUUCUGAAGUAUUAUCAGAUGGGAAAAACACUAGUAUUUUAGCAAUUACUGUGGCCAGAUCUCUCCCACUGCGGGAGUCUAUUGAAAAAUGGCAGCUAUGUGAUGAAACCCAACAGCAGGAAAUGAUGAAGCAAGGUAAUAAUAAAAAGAGAAAUAUUUCCAUUAGUAAAGGAGUGUCUAGUACUCUAUUCAUGUUGUCUUGAUAAAAAUUGAUUAUUGUGUUCAUGGCUCACGGUACUGUUACGGCGUGCUGCUGUCCAAAUAAACUUGUUUGCAAAAUAAAGAUAAAUGACUAUGUUGUAA
Molecule: non-coding RNA, 872 nt
Organism: Podarcis muralis (Common wall lizard)
Lineage: Eukaryota; Metazoa; Chordata; Lepidosauria; Squamata; Lacertidae
Source: RefSeq, a predicted model, not a curated record